RNAcentral lists this ribosomal RNA (253 nucleotides) under uncultured bacterium. RNAcentral's name for it is "partial 16S ribosomal RNA". It matches the Rfam family "Bacterial small subunit ribosomal RNA", at positions 524 to 776 of the family's 1533-position model. The record is from RNAcentral.
UACGUAGGGGGCGAGCGUUGUCCGGAAUUACUGGGCGUAAAGAGCACGUAGGCGGUUCGUUAAGUCGGCUGUGAAAUUCCUCGGCCCAACCGAGGGGGGUCAGCCGAUACUGGCGGGCUGGAGGGAGGCAGGGGGAAGCGGAAUUCCCGGAGUAGUGGUGAAAUGCGUAGAUACCGGGAGGAACACCAGAGGCGAAAGCGGCUUCCUGGGCUUUUCCUGACGCUGAGGUGCGAAGGCGUGGGGAGCGAACCGG